UACGAAGUGGGCUAGCGUUGUUCGGAAUCACUGGGCGUAAAGGGCGCGUAGGCGGCCGAUCAAGUCGGGGGUGAAAGCCUGUGGCUCAACCACAGAAUUGCCUUCGAUACUGUUUGGCUUGAGACCGGAAGAGGUAAGUGGAACUGCGAGUGUAGAGGUGAAAUUCGUAGAUAUUCGCAAGAACACCAGUGGCGAAGGCGGCUUACUGGUCCGGUUCUGACGCUGAGGCGCGAAAGCGUGGGGAGCAAACAGG
This 253-nucleotide ribosomal RNA is filed under the name uncultured bacterium. RNAcentral describes it as "partial 16S ribosomal RNA". It matches the Rfam family "Bacterial small subunit ribosomal RNA", at positions 524 to 776 of the family's 1533-position model. The record is from RNAcentral.